CCACUGUUGUCCAAAAUAUUUGGAUGUGAUUUAUGCCUAUUCCCGGGAAAUUGGCAAGGUUUGCUGGACUCUGAAUUUAGUGGAAACAUUUAACUGAAGAAAGCUUCUGAGAGGCCGUGGAAAGCAUGCUGAAGUGGAUGGAUGUUGAAAAACUGCAACUGGAAAAGAUAAGAAUUGGGAAUUUAAACUGUUCUUGCCAAAGCACCCUUCCAGUCCCCAGGAUUAUUGGGUAGAAAACCACACACAGGCUUACUACCUUGGCUUGAGAUCAUGUCAAAGAGAGUUCAGGGAUGGAAAAGUAUCUGGAAAGUAUCUAAAACCAGGCAAAAGUCAAUGAAGCUUUUCUCCCCCUUGAAAAGCUGUUACGGAAAGGCUCAGAUGGCAGGAAACCAGGUUUCUUGGAUUGAGGUGUCAGAAGACAGAAUUGGAAAUUGGAGGAGAAACGAAAACUUAGGAGGAUUUUCCAAAGGCAGGGAAUCCAUUGAGAGUGCGAAUCACAAAAUUUGAAGUUUUACAUACAUUAUAAUGCAUCACAUCUGGAGUGACAUGGGGAGAGAAAACUAUGUGAGCUCAACAGCUAUUGACUGUCUUGACCUCAAACAUUUUCCAUUGCUACCUACUUUUCUCGAGAGUGGAUCUAUUCACAAAAACCAAGGCUGGCUGGAUGGAGGAUUAGAGGCUGCUUCCUUUUUCUUGCCACUAAGGUCUGAACCAGCUGAGUGUCCCUUUGAUAUCACUGUAAUCCAUCUUAUUUAAGGUGGAGCAUUUGAUUUCUUCACCACCAGGCCUCCCUUCCACUUCAGGAAAUAAUCCUCUUUCAAUCUCCUGCUCAUUGAAAUAAAAAUACCAUCUCAUAU
Long non-coding RNA from Cebus imitator (Panamanian white-faced capuchin), 857 nucleotides. RefSeq lists it as uncharacterized. NCBI's taxonomy places the organism in Eukaryota, Metazoa, Chordata, Mammalia, Primates, Cebidae. The transcript has 4 exons. The record is from RefSeq and is a predicted model, not a curated record.